Molecule: transfer RNA, 67 nt
Filed under: Trichonephila clavata
Lineage: Eukaryota; Metazoa; Arthropoda; Arachnida; Araneae; Nephilidae
Description: tRNA-Trp
Rfam family: tRNA (bases 11-64)
About the family: Transfer RNA (tRNA) molecules are approximately 80 nucleotides in length.
Source: RNAcentral
GUGGCUCGGUGCGCACGGUAGCGCGUCUGACUCCAGAUCAGAAGGUGGCGUGUUCAAAUCACGUUCA